GAUGAAGAACGCAGCGAAAUGCGAUAAGUAAUGUGAAUUGCAGAAUUCAGUGAAUCAUCGAAUCUUUGAACGCACAUUGCGCCCGCCAGCAUUCUGGCGGGCAUGCCUGUUCGAGCGUCAUUUCAACCCUCGAGCCCCCCCGGGGGCCUCGGUGUUGGGGGACGGCACACCAGCCGCCCCCGAAAUGCAGUGGCGACCCCGCCGCAGCCUCCCCUGCGUAGUAGCACACACCUCGCACCGGAGCGCGGAGGCGGUCACGCCGUAAAACGCCCAACUUUCUUAGAGUUGACCUCGGAUCAGGUAGGAAUACCCGCUGAACUUAAGCAUAUCAUAACGGAGGA
RNAcentral lists this unclassified non-coding RNA (341 nucleotides) under soil metagenome. RNAcentral describes it as "partial contains 5.8S ribosomal RNA, internal transcribed spacer 2, and large subunit ribosomal RNA". The stretch from base 1 to 120 matches the Rfam family "5.8S ribosomal RNA", at positions 35 to 154 of the family's 154-position model. The record is from RNAcentral.